CCCGACUGCUAUUUGGGUGAGACUAAGCCAUGCGAGUUGAAUGGGAUACCUAAAUUUCCCAUGGCAAACUGCUCAGUAACACAUGAUCAACUUACCCUAUGGAGAAAAAUAACCUCGGGAAACUGAGGAUAAUAUUUCAUAGUUGAGAAGGCUUGGAAAAGUUUUUCAAUGAAAGGGAUAAAAAAAAUGGUUUUUAUUUGCCAUAGGAUAGGAUCGUGGUCGAUUGUGGUAGUUGGCGAGAUAACGGCUCACCAAGCCGAUAAUCGAUAGGGGCCGUGAGAGCGGGAGCCCCGAGAUGGGUACUGAGACAACGACCCAGGCCUUACGAGGCGCAGCAGGCGCGAAACCUCCGCAAUACACGAAAGUGUGACGGGGUUACCCAAAGUGUCCAAAUUGGACUGUGGUAGGUGAGUAAUGUCCCCUACUAGAAAGGAGAGGGCAAGGCUGGUGCCAGCCGCCGCGGUAAAACCAGCUCUUCAAGUGGUCGGGAUAAUUAUUGGGCUUAAAGUGUCCGUAGCCGGUUUAGUAAGUUCCUGGUAAAAUCGGGUAGCUUAACUAUCUGUAUGCUAGGAAUACUGCUAUACUAGAGGGCGGGAGAGGUCUGAGGUACUACGGGGGUAGGGGUGAAAUCUUAUAAUCCUUGUAGGACCACCAGUGGCGAAGGCGUCAGACUGGAACGCGCCUGACGGUGAGGGACGAAAGCCAGGGGAGCGAACCGGAUUAGAUACCCGGGUAGUCCUGGCCGUAAACGAUGCAUACUAGGUGAUGGCACGGCCAUGAGCCGUGUCAGUGCCGUAGGGAAACCGUUAAGUGUGCCGCCUGGGAAGUACGGUCGCAAGGCUAAAACU
Molecule: ribosomal RNA, 848 nt
Filed under: uncultured archaeon
Lineage: Archaea
Description: bacterial SSU rRNA
Rfam family: Archaeal small subunit ribosomal RNA
Source: RNAcentral